Pimephales promelas (fathead minnow) is the source of this 314-nucleotide non-coding RNA. The record is from RefSeq and is a predicted model, not a curated record. NCBI's taxonomy places the organism in Eukaryota, Metazoa, Chordata, Actinopteri, Cypriniformes, Leuciscidae.
GAGGACAUGUGGUGUGCCAGGACAAACGUUGAGGGUUAAACACAGCCGUGUGGUUCAAAAAUCACAGCGAGAAGAGCUUCGGUCGAGGAGAACAUCUCUUUGAAAAUAAGAGUCACUCCUCGUUAUACUACAGUAAGUGCUUCAGGUUCAUAAAAUCACCCCCGUUUCACUCGACACACCCAACCUCUGAUAUGUCCUCAGGAUUUACUUACAGUGAUAUCUGUGAGUAGAAAUUACACACACACACACAAAAAUAGACACCCUGUGGCUUCGGUAGAGGAAAUGUUCAGACGUGGGAGGGCGAAAGAGACGUU